Molecule: long non-coding RNA, 1042 nt
Organism: Antechinus flavipes (yellow-footed antechinus)
Lineage: Eukaryota; Metazoa; Chordata; Mammalia; Dasyuromorphia; Dasyuridae
Exons: 2
Source: RefSeq, a predicted model, not a curated record
CUUCUUCCCUAGAGAGGGCACCAAUUCUUGAAGGUUUAUGAUUUCUUCUUACUGAAUUAACCAGAGACAGAAUGUUGAUGGAAUAUUUAAAAUUACCCUCUUUCUCUAUGGUCCCACAUCUUCACCAUUCACACAAAGUACUUCCACAGGCAUUGGCAGAAGCCUAAUCCACUCUUUUGCUACAAGCUUUCACUUCCCACUCCUUGGGGCCCAUGUUAUGUGAAGAAAUCCAUCCAGUGUGUCCCAGAAGUAGCAGCCAAGCACCAGUGGUGUCAUCAUGCAUAUGAUUGGCUGAAGAAUGUGAACUUUUUUUAUAUCUGUCUCCACCAAUUUUGAAGAAAGAACAUGGGUUUUCAAUAAUCUAUGAACUUCAAUAUCUCCUUGCUGAAGAUAGAUUGCCACCUAGUAGGAGGUAAGGUUUCACUUCCUCCAGCUAUUACAGCCUCCUAUCCAUAUGUCAGAGGUGGCAGCUGCAGAUGAAUGAAAUGUAAGCUUGCUUUGUGAACUCUAUUUUCUAGUGCAGAGAAUCCCAAGAGGAAUUGAAGCAAUGCUAGAGUCACAGAAGUUUUCUGGCUUUCCCCCUGACUCACCUCCCCCCAAAUAUUUUCAGGGCUUGGUUAUUUCAGGAAAAGCAUAGACUCUUGUGACCAAAGUUUAAAUUAAAAUUUCAGUUGGGAAAGCUAUUUCUAGCACAGACAGUUUCUUUAUUGGAAAUGACUCCAGGCUUGGUGGACAAUGAUUAUGGCCUCUCUGGGAAUGAAAGAAGUGUUUUAGAUUAUUUGCUUUUUAUUUUGUUUUGUUUUGAGCUUUUAAUCUAACUAGAUGGAGAAGAGGAAGAGGAAGAGGGAAAGGUAAAAUGUAUCUUUCCAUUUGUGAUUUAUAGAUAAAAAAAAUAUUCCAUGUGUUCUACAUUGGGAUCAUUUAACUAAAAAAAACACAAACAAAAACAAACAAACACACACACGCACGCACGCACGCACACACACAUACAGUUCUUAACUAAACCAAAUUAAAAAGAUUUCUUACUUUAUGCUUGAAAAAC